CCAAAGGCUCUUUUCAGAGCCACCCACAUAGCCAGAAAAGAGUUGU
Molecule: regulatory RNA element, 46 nt
Organism: Tyto alba (common barn owl)
Lineage: Eukaryota; Metazoa; Chordata; Aves; Strigiformes; Tytonidae
Rfam family: Histone 3' UTR stem-loop
About the family: The mRNAs of metazoan histone genes lack a poly-A tail. 3' end processing occurs at a site between a highly conserved stem-loop (modelled by this family) and a purine rich region around 20 nts downstream (the histone downstream element, or HDE).
Source: Rfam